CAAAAAUUAGCGCCAAGAAAAUAGAAAGAGAAGAUAGCCACAAGUUAUAGGUUUCCAUUCCUGCCCAUGCCCUCUUGAACACUGGCAUUAAUAUUUGCAGUGUUACAAUAAAGUCGGACAGGCACAGGAUCUCUUUCCGGUUAGCUUACACAACUUUAGCCUCGGUAGAUUUUCAACAUAUUUGGGUAAUACGUUUUAAUUGAUCUCAGAACCAUCUAUGACAGACCCACAGCCAACAUCAUACUGAAUGGGGAAAAGCUGGAAGCAUUCUUCUUGAAAACCAGUACAAGACAAGGAUGCCAUCUCUCACCACUCCUAUUUAACAUAGUAUUAGAAGUCUUGGCCAGAACAAUUAGGCAAGAGAAAGAAAGAAAGGAUGUCCAGAUAGUAAGAGAGGAAGUCAAACUAUCCCUGUUUGCAGAUGACAUGAUUCUAUAUCUAGAAAACACCAUAGUCUGAGCCCAAAAGCUUCUUAAGCUGAUAAACAACUUCAGCAAGUCUCAGAAUACAAAAAUUGCUAGCAUUCCUAUACAGCAACAACAACCAAGCCGAGAGCCAAAUCAGGAAUUCAAUCUCAUUCACAAUUGCCCAAAAAGAAUAAAAUAUUUAGGAAUACAGCUAACCAGGAGGGUGAAGUAUCUCUACAAUGAGAACUGUAAAACACUGCUUAAGGAAAUCAGAGAUGACACAAACAAAUUUUAAAAAAAUUCUUUGCUCCUGGAUAGAAAGAUAUCCUAUACAUAUCAUUAAAAUGGUCAUACUACCUAAAGCAGUUUAUAGACUCAAUGCUAUUCCUAUCAAACUACCAAUGAUAUUCUUCAUAGUACCAGAAAAAAAAAAAACUAUUUUAAAAUUCAUAUAGAAUAAAAAAAGAGCCCAAAUAGCCAAGACAAUCUUAAGAAAAAAGAACAAAACUGGCGGCAUCUUGUUACCCAACUUCAAACUAUAUCACAGGGCUACACUAACUAAAACAGCAUGGUACUAGGACAAAAACAGACACAUAGACAAAUGGAACAGAAUAGAGGCCUAGAAAUAAGUCCACACACCUACAACCAUCUGAUCUUCCACAAAGCUGACAAAUACAAGAAACGGGGAAAAGACUCCCUAUUCAAUAAGCAGUGUUGGGUUAACUGGCUAGCUACAUGCAGAAGAUUACAACUGAAGCCAUUUCUUACACCAUGUACAAAAAUCAACACAAGAUGGAUUUAAUACUUAAAUGUAAAACCCAAAACUAUAAAAAUGCUAGAAGACAACCUAUGUAGUAUCAUUCAGGACACAGAAACAGGCAAAGAGUUAUGACAAAGACACCAAAGAGCAAUUGCAAAAAAAAAGCAAAAAAUUGACAAAUGGGAUCUAAUUAAACUUAAGAGCUUCUGCACAGCAAAUGAAACUAUCAACAGAGUAAACAGACAACGUACUGUAUGGGAGAAAAUAUUUGCAGCUAUGCAUCUGACAAAGUUCUAAUAUAGCAUCUAUAAGGAACUUAAAUUUACAAAUAACAAAAGAAAACACAUUAAAAAGUGGGCAGAGGAAAUGAACAGACACUUCUGUAAAGAAGACAUACAUCGGCCAAAAAUCAUAUGAAAAGAAGCUGAAUAUCACUUAUUAUUAGAGAAAUGCAAAUCAAAACCACAAUGAGAUACCAUCUCACACCUGUCAGAAUGGCUAAUAGUAAAAAUUCAAAAAAUAACAUAUGCUGGCAAGUGGCAAUGUUGUGGAGAAAAGAGAACAAGUAUACACUGUUGGUGGGCGUGUAAAUUAGGUCAUCCAUUGUGGAAGACAGUGUGGCGAUUCCUCAAAGUGCUAAAAACAGAACUACCAUUCAACCCAGCCAUCUUAUUACUGGGUUUAUACCCAGAGGAAUAUAAAUCAUUUCACCAUAAAGACACAUGUAUAUGUAUGUUCACUGCAGCACUGUUCACAAUAGCAAACACAUAGAAUCAAUCUCAAUGCCCAUCAGUGACAGAUUGGAUGAAGAAAAUGUGAUACAUUUGCACCAUGGUAUACUAUGCAGCCAUAAAAAAUGAGAUUGUGUCUUUUCUGGGAACAUGGAUGGAAUUGGAGGCCCUUAUUUUUAGCAAACUAAUACAGAAACAGAAAACAAAUAGUGCAUGUUCUCACUUAUGAGUGGAAGCUAAAUCAUGACAGCUCAUGAACACAAAGAAGGGAACAACAGAUACUGGGGCCUCCUUGAGGGUGGAGGUGGGAGGAGGGAGAGGAACAGGAAAAAUAGCUAUUGAGUACUAAGCUUAGUACCUGGGUGACGAAAUAAUCUGUACAUCAAGCCUCCUUGACAUGAGUUUACCUACAUACAACAAACCUGGACAUGUACCCCCAAAUCUAAAAUAAGAGUUAAAAAAUAUAAAAACUAAAAUGAAAAAAUGAUCUUAUUUAAACAUACGUUUUAACGUAUAUGGAAAAUUUAUUUUGGGUGCUCCAUGUGGCAGCUCAAAGGUAGAGGCAGUCAUCCUACUCAAUUGCUAAAAAAUGAUUUACAGGAAAAGACUUGUGUCAGAUGACCAGGAAAUUUACCCAUAUGUAUUAACAUUUUGUGAACAGAGAAAAUCAACAUGGGUUUUGUAACAUGAACCCCAAAUCAAAAGAUACAAGGGCAAAUUCCUCUAGAUUUCAGAUAUUGAUGAAUUUUUAUAGUUGUUUCUCAAAUAGGCAACUUUACUACAGCAAUUUCCAAGUUUCCUAGUAAUAGGGAAUUAUAUAUUUAUCUGUGGUUGAUUAUUCCCUAUAGGCAAUCCUAGAGGAUGGUUUCUAGCUACUUUGUUAAAGAGAGA
Molecule: long non-coding RNA, 2789 nt
Filed under: Homo sapiens (human)
Lineage: Eukaryota; Metazoa; Chordata; Mammalia; Primates; Hominidae
Description: HSALNT0205097
Source: RNAcentral